AACAUAGUCUAGUGGUAUGAUUCUCGCUUUGGGUGCGAGAGGUCCCGGGUUCGAUUCCCGGUGUU
Molecule: transfer RNA, 65 nt
Filed under: Fonticula alba
Lineage: Eukaryota; Rotosphaerida; Fonticulaceae
Rfam family: tRNA
About the family: Transfer RNA (tRNA) molecules are approximately 80 nucleotides in length. Their secondary structure includes four short double-helical elements and three loops (D, anti-codon, and T loops). Further hydrogen bonds mediate the characteristic L-shaped molecular structure. tRNAs have two regions of fundamental functional importance: the anti-codon, which is responsible for specific mRNA codon recognition, and the 3' end, to which the tRNAs corresponding amino acid is attached (by aminoacyl-tRNA synthetases). tRNAs cope with the degeneracy of the genetic code in two manners: having more than one tRNA (with a specific anti-codon) for a particular amino acid; and 'wobble' base-pairing, i.e. permitting non-standard base-pairing at the 3rd anti-codon position.
Source: Rfam by way of RNAcentral